CAUUUACUGAGGUCGAAACCAGAAAAUUGUGUACUGCCCCCCUCUGCCACUGUUGUCUUUGGGGAGGAGCCUUUUCGGCAAAUCUCGAGUCCUUGCAUCCGUGGUUGGGUCGAGUAGGAGGAGUCUUCAAAAGAAAUCGUUUUACAAGUAGGACGAUUUAUGGAGGCAGGCUGCUUUCCUUCUUCUAUGGUGUUAUGGACAGACCCUCGGACGAGACGGUGACGGGAUAUCAUGACCUCGACAUGGUGCACCAUGUCUUUGCAAAGGUCACUAAGGAUAUUGAUACGUUUGCGAAACGGCUCGAGCCAAGUGUCUAUGCUCAGCGUGGUUGCUUUGUUGAUUCCCGGCUUCAACACCCUGAUAUCGUCACUAUUUUGAAUCACGGAACGGGUUUUUGUCGAAUCUGAAGGGGGUGGACUACGAGCGUACCUCCGAGAUGGUGAAGACGAGGUUACGACCGCAACGCACGAGCUUUGGUUGCUUGACGUCAACCGUUCUGUUAUUUCCACGCUAACGGGUGGAGGCAGCGGAGUACCGUUGCUAUGACAGAGAAGUCCCCCUCUCUUAGUGAGGUUGUUCUCUUCUAUCCGUAUGACUCUUUCCUGCUUCCUUGGGAAGGUAGAUAAACUACUUCUGCCUAACACGCCGUUUCUCAUUCUGCCGUGAGACAGCUGCGGUUGGGCAUCUCCCAAAGGAAGUGCUCGAGGCGUGAGUGCCUCAUCUGCAGUAUCGUUUUCUUGAGAUGAGUAUGACCCCCAUGGGGCGGUAUACUCGUCUCGUUUUUUUUCUCUAUGAAUGGCACAGACGGUCGUACAUGGCAC
This 821-nucleotide long non-coding RNA is filed under the name Toxoplasma gondii VEG. The record is from RNAcentral. Lineage: Eukaryota; Apicomplexa; Conoidasida; Eucoccidiorida; Sarcocystidae.